AGAGUUUGAUCCUGGCUCAGAAUGAACGCUGGCGGCGUGCUUAACACAUGCAAGUCGUGCGCGAAGGUGGCUUCGGCCACCGGAGAGCGGCGAACGGGUGAGUAACACGUGGGUGAUCUGCCCUGGAGCGGGGGAUAACCUGGGGAAACUCGGGCUAAUACCGCAUACGUUGAUCUGGUUGCGAUCAGGUCAAGAAAGCUGGCCUCUAUUUAUAAGCUAGCGCUCUUGGAGGAGCCCGCGGCUGAUUAGCUAGUUGGUAGGGUAAUGGCCUACCAAGGCUACGAUCAGUAGCCGGCCUGAGAGGGUGAUCGGCCACACUGGGACUGAGACACGGCCCAGACUCCUACGGGAGGCAGCAGUGGGGAAUAUUGGACAAUGGGCGCAAGCCUGAUCCAGCAACGCCGCGUGGAGGACGAAGGUCUUCGGAUCGUAAACUCCUGUCAGGCGGGACGAAGGCUUCCGGGCAAAUAGUCUGGAAGCUUGACGGUACUGCCAGAGGAAGCCCCGGCUAACUCCGUGCCAGCAGCCGCGGUAAUACGGAGGGGGCUAGCGUUAUUCGGAAUUAUUGGGCGUAAAGGGCGCGUAGGCGGCCCGGUAAGUCAAAGGUGAAAUCCCUCGGCUCAACUGAGGAACUGCCUUUGAAACUGUCGGGCUUGAGGCCGGGAGGGGGUAGCGGAAUUCCCAGUGUAGCGGUGAAAUGCGUAGAUAUUGGGAGGAACACCGGUGGCGAAGGCGGCUACCUGGACCGGUUCUGACGCUGAUGCGCGAAAGCGUGGGUAGCAAACAGGAUUAGAUACCCUGGUAGUCCACGCUGUAAACGAUGGGUGCUCGGUGUCGCGGGUAUCGACCCCUGCGGUGCCUUAGCUAACGCGUUAAGCACCCCGCCUGGGGAGUACGGUCGCAAGGCUGAAACUUAAAGGAAUUGACGG
RNAcentral lists this ribosomal RNA (929 nucleotides) under uncultured bacterium. Its description in RNAcentral is "bacterial SSU rRNA". It matches the Rfam family "Bacterial small subunit ribosomal RNA", at positions 8 to 916 of the family's 1533-position model. The record is from RNAcentral.